Molecule: ribosomal RNA, 437 nt
Filed under: uncultured bacterium
Lineage: Bacteria
Description: bacterial SSU rRNA
Rfam family: Bacterial small subunit ribosomal RNA
Source: RNAcentral
GCAUAACGCGAAGAACCUUACCUAGGCUUGACAUGCAUCUCUAAGCGCGUGAAAGCGCGUGACCCUUCGGGGGAUUUGCACAGGUGCUGCAUGGCCGUCGUCAGCUCGUGUCGUGAGAUGUUGGGUUAAGUCCCGCAACGAGCGCAACCCUUGUGAACAGUUGCCAGCACUUAAGGUGGGAACUCUGUUCAGACUGCCUAGAUCAACUGGGAGGAAGGUGGGGACGACGUCAGGUCAGUAUGGCCCUUACGCCUAGGGCUGCACACGUACUACAAUGCCCAGCACAAUGAGAACCGAGACCGCGAGGUGGAGGAAAUCUAAAAAACUGGGCCCAGUUCGGAUUGGAGGCUGCAACUCGCCUCCAUGAAGUUGGAAUCGCUAGUAAUGGCGCAUCAGCUACGGCGCCGUGAAUACGUUCCCGGGUCUUGUACACACCG